AGGAUAAUACAACUUUAUUUGAUCAAAGUAGAAUGAUAUAUAGAAGAUUAGCAUGACUCGUGUGCAACGAUGACACAAUACAAAUCGAGAAAUGGUCCAAAAUACA
Cucumis sativus (cucumber) is the source of this 106-nucleotide non-coding RNA. The record is from Rfam. NCBI's taxonomy places the organism in Eukaryota, Viridiplantae, Streptophyta, Magnoliopsida, Cucurbitales, Cucurbitaceae.